GGGCCCUUAGCUCAGCCUGGUAGAGCGCUUGCUCGACACGCAAGAGGCCACUGGUUCAAGUCCAGUACGGCCCA
This 74-nucleotide transfer RNA is filed under the name Actinomycetota bacterium. RNAcentral describes it as "tRNA-Val". It matches the Rfam family "tRNA". Rfam says of the family: Transfer RNA (tRNA) molecules are approximately 80 nucleotides in length. Lineage: Bacteria; Bacillati; Actinomycetota. The record is from RNAcentral.